RNAcentral lists this long non-coding RNA (1198 nucleotides) under Oreochromis niloticus (Nile tilapia). RNAcentral describes it as "lncRNA (ENSONIG00000024554.2)". Lineage: Eukaryota; Metazoa; Chordata; Actinopteri; Cichliformes; Cichlidae. The record is from RNAcentral.
GUCUUACGUGGCUGGUCAGUCGCAGGCUGUUCGGGGAUAAAUACAACCAGUCAUGUUGACAUGUCAAAGUUCAUACACGUCAUGUGUGUACUGCCAGCCUUUACACUUUGUUUAGAGCUGAGUUCACAGGGGAUUUUCAUCAUGGGGUGGGGGGAGUGAAAUUGUGCACAGCCGUAAUGUUAUGCAAACACGCCAGAAGUCUCUGUGUCUGUCCGUAAUUAACUCAAGAAGUUUGUAAAAUGGUAUUUGUACAACCAUUUGUUAAAAAUAUUAUAUUAUUUAUUAGAAUUAAACAGAGGUUUUUGACGUGAGAGAGGAAAAGAAAAAGCAGUCCUGUCAUGUCCCUGUAAUGUGAAUAGUUUUUGAUUUUAUUGCCCCAAACCCCAAAAGAAGGUUAGAUGAAUUUUGUUGGUCCUUCAAUAAAAAAUUAGAUUUAAAAUGUCUGAAAACAACAUUUCUCAGCGGCAUGUCCUCAUUGUUUCUAAUAAUUCAAACAAUGUGGACUUGAAUAUGAGUUCAGACCAACUCUGUUGGUAGGUCAGUUGAUAAACAGAAAAUUAAUCUGCAACAAUAGUUGAUGUACGCUACAGGUUUGUUGUUGGUGACAAAAUAUGCAAUGGAAAGCAUGUAAGGCAUUUUAAAUUUGGUGUAGGUGACUUUUGGCCUUUUGGUCAUAAAAUAAAUUAUUUCACCCUCAACUGGAGGCGGCAGAUGGCUGCUCCUCGCCAGCCCUGAUUCUGCUGGAAGCUGAUGACCUCAGUAUCUGCUGACUGCUGUUACAUCAAGUCAUUCACCACAUGGAGAAACCGUGGAGCCACUGGAGGAGACGUCAAGUGGACUGAACUGCAGGCCUCUUGUCAGGGUGCCCAUAGUAUGCGAGCAACCUUUCAACGCAACGCUUUUGUCGGGUAAAAAUGCAGAAUGAAUAGUUAUUCAUGUAGCGUGUUAGGUGGGAAAGAAAUACAGCCUGGUUAUUUUGCAUUAAGGGCUUUGGUAUUUAUAGUGGUGUGAAAUAAUGUGAAACACAGUCUAAUAUCCUCGGGGAUUUAGCAUAAAAAAUACAUGAGAAAUAAACCUUUUCUUGUGUUUCGUGCACAGAAACUACUAGCUUCAAAACAGCAAAAUAUUUAGAAAUAAAAAAAACUGUGGAUCCUAAUUGUCACUCGUGUCUCUUAUUCUUAUUGCCUUCUAUUGUCAG